Molecule: ribosomal RNA, 260 nt
Filed under: Pantoea agglomerans
Lineage: Bacteria; Pseudomonadati; Pseudomonadota; Gammaproteobacteria; Enterobacterales; Erwiniaceae
Also listed under: 1 other name
Description: partial 16S ribosomal RNA
Rfam family: Bacterial small subunit ribosomal RNA
Source: RNAcentral
GUCGUAGUCCGGAUCGGAGUCUGCAACUCGACUCCGUGAAGUCGGAAUCGCUAGUAAUCGUGGAUCAGAAUGCCACGGUGAAUACGUUCCCGGGCCUUGUACACACCGCCCGUCACACCAUGGGAGUGGGUUGCAAAAGAAGUAGGUAGCUUAACCUUCGGGAGGGCGCUUACCACUUUGUGAUUCAUGACUGGGGUGAAGUCGUAACAAGGUAACCGUAGGGGAACCUGCGGUUGGAUCACCUCCUUACCUGAAGAUAC